Zootoca vivipara (common lizard) is the source of this 794-nucleotide long non-coding RNA. RefSeq lists it as uncharacterized. The record is from RefSeq and is a predicted model, not a curated record. Lineage: Eukaryota; Metazoa; Chordata; Lepidosauria; Squamata; Lacertidae.
UCAAGUAUUCAAGAUGGACGGAAGGGAAUGCGGAGAGGAGAAGCGGGAGCUGCUGCUUUGAGCGUCUUCCACUUCCAUGCCCGGGCCGGGGGAAAGGGGGAGGAAACUCCCCGCAAGUUUCCACCUCUGCCACUGGGGGAGGCGAGAGACGAGGAGAAGCCCGAGAGCUGCUGAAAGGGUGGACCUUCUGAAACACCUUCUAGAAACACCAAGCUGGAUGUUCCUGCUGAAUGAAGACCAGAGAGGACGGCUGAAAUUAUUUGGGCACUACGGCAGCCAAGAGGAGAUCCCAAAGAAAGCAAACUGAUAAAAGAGUUAAAAUGAAUCCCCGUUGUCUUGGGCGAGGUGAGAAGGCAGUUCUCUUGUUUCCGCAUAGGAAUUCGGAGAGAGGGAAAGAGUGCGCGAAGAGCCUCCUGAGGCACUGGGCAUGGCCCCUGUCCAAGGCUCUUUUCACAUUGUGCUACUGUCUGAGCCCAACGCAAGCAGUGCAAUGUAAAAAGGGCAUUGGGUGGGUGGCCACAGCAGCAUGAAGCCUCUAGACGUCCCUUAUUGGCAAUAUUCAGGGGAUAGACACGGAGCCUUGCUAUGUGAGGCAAAAGGAAGGUGUAACUGAGAAAACGGAUAGUGGGGCUGUUCAGCAUCAACUGCUGGGUUAGGACGGUUCACAGGCCAACAUGGUUUGGCAUCUGAGUGGAAGCUGAAGGGUUGUUGCUUUCUUGCAAAUCGCCUUUGACUGUUCUCUUUCUGAGGUGUUACAGCAGCCUAUUGCCUAAUAAAUGUUGCCGCUUCUUUAA